CGUGUAGGCGGCCAGGUAGGUCCGACGUGAAAACUGGAGGCUCAACCUCCAGCUGUCGUUGGAAACCAUCUGGCUAGAGUCCGGAAGAGGAGAGUGGAAUUCCUGGUGUAGCGGUGAAAUGCGCAGAUAUCAGGAAGAACACCAAUGGCGAAGGCAGCUCUCUGGGACGGUACUGACGCUGAGACGCGAAAGCGUGGGAGCGAACA
This 206-nucleotide ribosomal RNA is filed under the name uncultured bacterium. RNAcentral describes it as "partial 16S ribosomal RNA". It matches the Rfam family "Bacterial small subunit ribosomal RNA", at positions 568 to 774 of the family's 1533-position model. The record is from RNAcentral.